Molecule: long non-coding RNA, 1170 nt
Filed under: Anser cygnoides (Swan goose)
Lineage: Eukaryota; Metazoa; Chordata; Aves; Anseriformes; Anatidae
Description: lncRNA (ENSACDG00005018424.1)
Source: RNAcentral
AUGGACAGGAGCACGGGGGUAAGCCUGGAGCAACCCAAAGGGUGGCGUUGGGCAGCUGAGCGGGACGUCUCUAGGACAGGAUGGGAUGGGAUGGGACAGGACAGGAUGGUUUGGGAUGGGCAGAGCAUUGCUGCCUGGGGGCAAGCACCCACGGGGCAGGCAGCAGUGAGGGUGAGGAUGAUGAAGAGGAGGCAGCACGCCCGCUCACCCCACCGACACCACAGCACUUCGGCACCAUUUAGGAAGCCGGUGCCAGCUCUGGGGGUGCUCGCAGUCCCCCCAGCUCCAUGCCCCCAUCCCCAAGGAGCUGCUCCCUGUGUGCUGGCACAGCCGCCAGCUUCCAGCACCAACCCUAGCCCCGUCCUGCACCCCCAGAGAAGCCCCCAUCCCACAGCCAAUGCCCAGCACCACUCGUGCCCCGCAGGGCAGGAGGGCGAGGGAUGGGCAGCGGAGCCUUCCUCGCUCCGGGGAGCCCGAGAGGACAAACGAGAGAGGAAAAGCAGGGCAAGAGGAGGGCGAGCUGGGGCGGGGGGCGCAGGGGGGGGCGAGCCCCGGCUCCGGUGCAGCGUGGGCGGAGGAGGUGGAGGCCUGACCCCUCCGCCGAGGUUGCCUUCGCCAUCGAUCCCUGCUGCACUCAGGCUCAUUACGGCCGGGGAGCUGCUGCGAGCGGCUGGCGGAGGAGACAGACGAGAGGGGGGGGGGGGGAGAGCGCUCUCCGUGGCUCCCUGGAUCGUAUUAAAUAUUUACUUUGUUUUGUUUUGUUUUUUUCCCAGCUAUAUUGAUCAGAGAUGGGGAAGGGGGGUGCGCUCAGAUGCUGGGAGGGGAAGAGCAGAGGCAAUGGCUGGGCUGCCAGACGGGGACGGACCCUGCGGGCGCGCCGCACCCACGGGUGCCAUUCCCCAUCGCCACCCAAAGCACCCCCAAGCACCCCCAGCUUGGUUCGAGGCCACCACCAGCACCAGGAGGGGCUGCAGUGGGGCAGCUCCCCCCCCCCACAGCACACCCCAGCCCCAUCCCAAGGAGGGGAUGCUCGGCUCCAUGGGGGUGCCCCCCUUGGACCGGGCCCCCCGCAACCAGGCCGGGUCCAGCGGCCGUGCAGCCGGCGCUGUUUCUAUUUCAAGAGGAGCUCUGCUGGAAAAGGAACAAAAGCAGAGGGGAAGCUAUAAAUAG